Molecule: ribosomal RNA, 433 nt
Filed under: uncultured bacterium
Lineage: Bacteria
Description: partial 16S ribosomal RNA
Rfam family: Bacterial small subunit ribosomal RNA
Source: RNAcentral
AACGAACGCUGGCGGCAGGCUUAACACAUGCAAGUCGAGCGAGACCUUCGGGUCUAGCGGCGGACGGGUGAGUAACGCGUGGGAACGUGCCCUUCUCUACGGAAUAGCCCCGGGAAACUGGGAGUAAUACCGUAUACACCCUUUGGGGGAAAGAUUUAUCGGAGAAGGAUCGGCCCGCGUUGGAUUAGGUAGUUGGUGGGGUAAUGGCCCACCAAGCCGACGAUCCAUAGCUGGUUUGAGAGGAUGAUCAGCCACACUGGGACUGAGACACGGCCCAGACUCCUACGGGAGGCAGCAGUGGGGAAUCUUAGACAAUGGGGGCAACCCUGAUCUAGCCAUGCCGCGUGAGUGAUGAAGGCCUUAGGGUUGUAAAGCUCUUUCAGCUGGGAAGAUAAUGACGGUACCAGCAGAAGAAGCCCCGGCUAACUCCGUG